UACGUAGGUGACCAGCGUUGUCCGGAUUUACUGGGCGUAAAGAGCGCGCAGGCGGUCGUUCAAGUCGAGUGUGAAAGCCCCCGGCUCAACUGGGGAGGGUCAUUCGAUACUGAUCGACUCGAAGGCAGGAGAGGGAAGCGGAAUUCCCGGUGUAGUGGUGAAAUGCGUAGAUAUCGGGAGGAACACCAGUGGCGAAGGCGGCUUCCUGGCCUGUUCUUGACGCUGAGGCGCGAAAGCUAGGGGAGCAAACGGGAUUAGAAACCCUGGUAGU
Molecule: ribosomal RNA, 271 nt
Filed under: uncultured bacterium
Lineage: Bacteria
Description: partial 16S ribosomal RNA
Rfam family: Bacterial small subunit ribosomal RNA
Source: RNAcentral